AUACGUAGGUGACAAGCGUUAUCCGGAUUUACUGGGCGUAAAGGGCGUGUAGGCGGUCUUGCAAGUCAGAAGUGAAAUUCCUGAGCUCAACUCGGGCGCUGCUUCUGAAACUGCAGGACUUGAGUGCUGGAGGGGAUAGCGGAAUUCCUAGUGGAGCGGUAAAAUGCGCAGAUAUUAGGAAGAACACCGGUGGCGAAGGCGGCUAGCUGGACAGUAACUGACGCUGAGGCGCGAAAGCGUGGGGAGCAAACAGGAUUAGAUACCCUGGUCGUCCACGCCGUAAACGAUGAAUACUAGGUGUAGGGGGUAUCGACUCCCUCUGUGCCGCAGUUAACACAAUAAGUAUUCCGCCUGGGGAGUACGGCCGCAAGGUUGAAACUCAAAUGAAUUGACGGGG
RNAcentral lists this ribosomal RNA (397 nucleotides) under uncultured bacterium. Its description in RNAcentral is "partial 16S ribosomal RNA". It matches the Rfam family "Bacterial small subunit ribosomal RNA", at positions 523 to 918 of the family's 1533-position model. The record is from RNAcentral.